CUUGGAAGAGAGGAGAGUUCUUGAGAGAAAGGAGAAGGCCUCCUUUAUCUUCUGCAAGAGAUGAGCUGAUCUUGAAUCAUAGUUUCUUCAGUAUCAUAAUUAUCUUUGGAACUUUCAGAUAAACAUAGUUAUCUUUCAGUCGGUCCCUGGGCAGUUCUCUCUGUCUGGAAUAGACUUAGGUCCUAAGCCCCUAAGGGUUCAGAAUGCAGUGCUAGCUUGGUACCCUGGCUACCUUGGGCCUUCAACCAGAGAACCUCUGCUUCAGGAGCCUUACCCCCAGUGAGUGGGG
RNAcentral lists this long non-coding RNA (289 nucleotides) under Bos taurus (domestic cattle). RNAcentral describes it as "long non-coding RNA NONBTAT026368". The record is from RNAcentral. Lineage: Eukaryota; Metazoa; Chordata; Mammalia; Artiodactyla; Bovidae.